ACUAAGCGUACACGGUGGAUGCCCUGGCAGUCAGAGGCGAUGAAGGACGUGCUAAUCUGCGAUAAGCGUCGGUAAGGUGAUAUGAACCGUUAUAACCGGCGAUUUCCGAAUGGGGAAACCCAGUGUGAUUCGUCACACUAUCAUUAACUGAAUCCAUAGGUUAAUGAGGCGAACCGGGGGAACUGAAACAUCUAAGUACCCCGAGGAAAAGAAAUCAACCGAGAUUCCCCCAGUAGCGGCGAGCGAACGGGGAGCAGCCCAGAGCCUGAAUCAGUGUGUGUGUUAGUGGAAGCGUCUGGAAAGGCGCGCGAUACAGGGUGACAGCCCCGUACACAAAAAUGCACAUGCUGUGAGCUCGAUGAGUAGGGCGGGACACGUGGUAUCCUGUCUGAAUAUGGGGGGACCAUCCUCCAAGGCUAAAUACUCCUGACUGACCGAUAGUGAACCAGUACCGUGAGGGAAAGGCGAAAAGAACCCCGGCGAGGGGAGUGAAAAAGAACCUGAAACCGUGUACGUACAAGCAGUGGGAGCACAGAGCAAUCUGUGUGACUGCGUACCUUUUGUAUAAUGGGUCAGCGACUUAUAUUCUGUAGCAAGGUUAACCGAAUAGGGGAGCCGAAGGGAAACCGAGUCUUAACUGGGCGUUAAGUUGCAGGGUAUAGACCCGAAACCCGGUGAUCUAGCCAUGGGCAGGUUGAAGGUUGGGUAACACUAACUGGAGGACCGAACCGACUAAUGUUGAAAAAUUAGCGGAUGACUUGUGGCUGGGGGUGAAAGGCCAAUCAAACCGGGAGAUAGCUGGUUCUCCCCGAAAGCUAUUUAGGUAGCGCCUCGUGAAUUCAUCUCCGGGGGUAGAGCACUGUUUCGGCAAGGGGGUCAUCCCGACUUACCAACCCGAUGCAAACUGCGAAUACCGGAGAAUGUUAUCACGGGAGACACACGGCGGGUGCUAACGUCCGUCGUGAAGAGGGAAACAACCCAGACCGCCAGCUAAGGUCCCAAAGUCAUGGUUAAGUGGGAAACGAUGUGGGAAGGCCCAGACAGCCAGGAUGUUGGCUUAGAAGCAGCCAUCAUUUAAAGAAAGCGUAAUAGCUCACUGGUCGAGUCGGCCUGCGCGGAAGAUGUAACGGGGCUAAACCAUGCACCGAAGCUGCGGCAGCGACGCUUAUGCGUUGUUGGGUAGGGGAGCGUUCUGUAAGCCUGCGAAGGUGUGCUGUGAGGCAUGCUGGAGGUAUCAGAAGUGCGAAUGCUGACAUAAGUAACGAUAAAGCGGGUGAAAAGCCCGCUCGCCGGAAGACCAAGGGUUCCUGUCCAACGUUAAUCGGGGCAGGGUGAGUCGACCCCUAAGGCGAGGCCGAAAGGCGUAGUCGAUGGGAAACAGGUUAAUAUUCCUGUACUUGGUGUUACUGCGAAGGGGGGACGGAGAAGGCUAUGUUGGCCGGGCGACGGUUGUCCCGGUUUAAGCGUGUAGGCUGGUUUUCCAGGCAAAUCCGGAAAAUCAAGGCUGAGGCGUGAUGACGAGGCACUACGGUGCUGAAGCAACAAAUGCCCUGCUUCCAGGAAAAGCCUCUAAGCAUCAGGUAACAUCAAAUCGUACCCCAAACCGACACAGGUGGUCAGGUAGAGAAUACCAAGGCGCUUGAGAGAACUCGGGUGAAGGAACUAGGCAAAAUGGUGCCGUAACUUCGGGAGAAGGCACGCUGAUAUGUAGGUGAAGUCCCUCGCGGAUGGAGCUGAAAUCAGUCGAAGAUACCAGCUGGCUGCAACUGUUUAUUAAAAACACAGCACUGUGCAAACACGAAAGUGGACGUAUACGGUGUGACGCCUGCCCGGUGCCGGAAGGUUAAUUGAUGGGGUCAGCGCAAGCGAAGCUCUUGAUCGAAGCCCCGGUAAACGGCGGCCGUAACUAUAACGGUCCUAAGGUAGCGAAAUUCCUUGUCGGGUAAGUUCCGACCUGCACGAAUGGCGUAAUGAUGGCCAGGCUGUCUCCACCCGAGACUCAGUGAAAUUGAACUCGCUGUGAAGAUGCAGUGUACCCGCGGCAAGACGGAAAGACCCCGUGAACCUUUACUAUAGCUUGACACUGAACAUUGAGCCUUGAUGUGUAGGAUAGGUGGGAGGCUUUGAAGUGUGGACGCCAGUCUGCAUGGAGCCGACCUUGAAAUACCACCCUUUAAUGUUUGAUGUUCUAACGUUGACCCGUGAUCCGGGUUGCGGACAGUGUCUGGUGGGUAGUUUGACUGGGGCGGUCUCCUCCUAAAGAGUAACGGAGGAGCACGAAGGUUGGCUAAUCCUGGUCGGACAUCAGGAGGUUAGUGCAAUGGCAUAAGCCAGCUUGACUGCGAGCGUGACGGCGCGAGCAGGUGCGAAAGCAGGUCAUAGUGAUCCGGUGGUUCUGAAUGGAAGGGCCAUCGCUCAACGGAUAAAAGGUACUCCGGGGAUAACAGGCUGAUACCGCCCAAGAGUUCAUAUCGACGGCGGUGUUUGGCACCUCGAUGUCGGCUCAUCACAUCCUGGGGCUGAAGUAGGUCCCAAGGGUAUGGCUGUUCGCCAUUUAAAGUGGUACGCGAGCUGGGUUUAGAACGUCGUGAGACAGUUCGGUCCCUAUCUGCCGUGGGCGCUGGAGAACUGAGGGGGGCUGCUCCUAGUACGAGAGGACCGGAGUGGACGCAUCACUGGUGUUCGGGUUGUCAUGCCAAUGGCACUGCCCGGUAGCUAAAUGCGGAAGAGAUAAGUGCUGAAAGCAUCUAAGCACGAAACUUGCCCCGAGAUGAGUUCUCCCUGACUCCUUGAGAGUCCUGAAGGAACGUUGAAGACGACGACGUUGAUAGGCCGGGUGUGUAAGCGCAGCGAUGCGUUGAGCUAACCGGUACUAAUGAACCGUGAGGCUUAACC
This 2895-nucleotide ribosomal RNA is filed under the name Escherichia coli O128:H27. RNAcentral's name for it is "bacterial LSU rRNA". It matches the Rfam family "Bacterial large subunit ribosomal RNA". The record is from RNAcentral. Lineage: Bacteria; Pseudomonadati; Pseudomonadota; Gammaproteobacteria; Enterobacterales; Enterobacteriaceae.